UUUGAAUGUAAAUUAAUAAUAUUAGAUUAGUAGUAGGUAUGAUCUUUAAAUUUAAAGAUUUUGGCGGUAUUUUAGUCUAUUUAGAGGAACCUGUUCUAUAAUUGAUAGUCCACGAUAAAUUGUACUUAACUUAUUAAUUUGUAUAUCGUCGUUAUUAAAUAUUUUAUAAGAAUUUAAAUGUUUAAGAUUUUAAAUAAAAAAAUAUAUCAGAUCAAGGUGCAGUAUAUAGUUAAGUAGAAAUGGGUUACAAUAAAUUUAUUUAUUAUGGAUUUAUAAAUUAAAAUUUAUAAUGAAAGUGGAUUUAAUAGUAAUAAAAUUUAAAUAGAUUUUAUGAUUUUAGCUCUAAAAUGUGU
This 353-nucleotide ribosomal RNA is filed under the name Chostonectes gigas. RNAcentral's name for it is "partial 12S ribosomal RNA". Lineage: Eukaryota; Metazoa; Arthropoda; Insecta; Coleoptera; Dytiscidae. The record is from RNAcentral.